This 882-nucleotide ribosomal RNA is filed under the name Leuconostoc mesenteroides subsp. mesenteroides. Its description in RNAcentral is "bacterial SSU rRNA". It matches the Rfam family "Bacterial small subunit ribosomal RNA", at positions 59 to 922 of the family's 1533-position model. The record is from RNAcentral. Lineage: Bacteria; Bacillati; Bacillota; Bacilli; Lactobacillales; Lactobacillaceae.
AAGUCGACGCACAGCGAAAGGUGCUUGCACCUUUCAAGUGAGUGGCGAACGGGUGAGUAACACGUGGACAACCUGCCUCAAGGCUGGGGAUAACAUUUGGAAACAGAUGCUAAUACCGAAUAAAACUUAGUGUCGCAUGACACAAAGUUAAAAGGCGCUUCGGCGUCACCUAGAGAUGGAUCCGCGGUGCAUUAGUUAGUUGGUGGGGUAAAGGCCUACCAAGACAAUGAUGCAUAGCCGAGUUGAGAGACUGAUCGGCCACAUUGGGACUGAGACACGGCCCAAACUCCUACGGGAGGCUGCAGUAGGGAAUCUUCCACAAUGGGCGAAAGCCUGAUGGAGCAACGCCGCGUGUGUGAUGAAGGCUUUCGGGUCGUAAAGCACUGUUGUAUGGGAAGAACAGCUAGAAUAGGAAAUGAUUUUAGUUUGACGGUACCAUACCAGAAAGGGACGGCUAAAUACGUGCCAGCAGCCGCGGUAAUACGUAUGUCCCGAGCGUUAUCCGGAUUUAUUGGGCGUAAAGCGAGCGCAGACGGUUUAUUAAGUCUGAUGUGAAAGCCCGGAGCUCAACUCCGGAAUGGCAUUGGAAACUGGUUAACUUGAGUGCAGUAGAGGUAAGUGGAACUCCAUGUGUAGCGGUGGAAUGCGUAGAUAUAUGGAAGAACACCAGUGGCGAAGGCGGCUUACUGGACUGCAACUGACGUUGAGGCUCGAAAGUGUGGGUAGCAAACAGGAUUAGAUACCCUGGUAGUCCACACCGUAAACGAUGAACACUAGGUGUUAGGAGGUUUCCGCCUCUUAGUGCCGAAGCUAACGCAUUAAGUGUUCCGCCUGGGGAGUACGACCGCAAGGUUGAAACUCAAAGGAAUUUGACGGGGACCC